AUGAGUUUCCACUCUUUCAGCUUUAUAUUAUACCCUUCAAACGACUAUAACUACAUUGAUGAGCAAGACAAAAAAGUAAAAGAAGAAGAAGAAGAAGAGGAGAUUAACAAUGUUACUAUGGAUGAUGAUUUUGAAGAAGAAAAUAUGGGCAACACUCAAGAGAAUGUUGUUGUUAAUGAUGAUGAUGAGGCUUUUGUAGAAAAUGAGAAUGAGAAAGUUGGGGUUUGUGGUUGA
Molecule: non-coding RNA, 234 nt
Organism: Vicia faba (fava bean)
Lineage: Eukaryota; Viridiplantae; Streptophyta; Magnoliopsida; Fabales; Fabaceae
Source: the annotation of a GenBank genome assembly